Long non-coding RNA from Carassius auratus (goldfish), 486 nucleotides. RefSeq lists it as uncharacterized. NCBI's taxonomy places the organism in Eukaryota, Metazoa, Chordata, Actinopteri, Cypriniformes, Cyprinidae. The transcript is spliced from 3 exons. The record is from RefSeq and is a predicted model, not a curated record.
GGAAAUUAAUAAAUGUAAAAUGCAAGUUAUUUAUUACAAGAACUGCUCAUAUUUAUGACUCUACUGCAGCUAUUUAUGCAACUGUUGAUAAUGACAUAAGCACAGGUAAAUAACAUAUUUUAGAACUUAAGUCCAUCUUUUUAUCACUGUGAUAUCUGCAGAGCAAAUCCAGUUAAACCAAGUGUUUUUUCCUCAUUGUAGACAGUGUAAGUGCACCUUCUGAACUCACCUAUGCUGAGAUUGAACUGAAAUCUACAAAGAAAGAGAAGAAAAAGAAAGAAAACAAAGAGAAUAAACCUGAGAGUUCUGACUGCGUUUACUCUAAACUCAAGCUGCAGACAGAUCAAGGUGCUGGGUCUGGUGAAGUGAUUUAUGCUCAGGUUAAAUAAAAAUGUCCAGAGGAGAAACGUUCAAUCCCAGGAUGCUGAUGGGUGGAAAUGAACCAGGAUCAUCAAUGAUCAGUAAUCUUUGUGAUAUUGAUCACUU